GCAGUCGCCGCGGUAAAACGUAGGUGGCAAGCGUUGUCCGGAAUUAUUGGGCGUAAAGGGCUCGCAGGCGGUUUCUUAAGUCUGAUGUGAAAGCCCCCGGCUCAACCGGGGAGGGUCAUUGGAAACUGGGAAACUUGAGUGCAGAAGAGGAGAGUGGAGUUCCACGUGUAGCGGUGAAAUGCGUAGAGAUGUGGAGGAACACCGGUGGCGAAGGCGACUCUCUGGUCUGUAACUGACGCUGAGGAGCGAAAGCGUGGGGAGCGAACAGGAUUAGAUACCCCGGUAGUCCCUGUCUCUUAUAC
Molecule: ribosomal RNA, 302 nt
Filed under: uncultured bacterium
Lineage: Bacteria
Description: partial 16S ribosomal RNA
Rfam family: Bacterial small subunit ribosomal RNA
Source: RNAcentral